GACAGAGGAUGCAAGCGUUAUCCGGAAUGAUUGGGCGUAAAGCGUCUGUAGGUGGCUUUUCAAGUCCGCCGUCAAAUCCCAGGGCUCAACCCUGGACAGGCGGUGGAAACUACCAAGCUGGAGUACGGUAGGGGAGACUGGAAUUCCUGGUGUAGCGGUGAAAUGCGCAGAUAUCAGGAGGAACACCGGUGGCGAAGGCGGGUCUCUGGGCCGAUACUGACGUGGAGGAGCGAAAGCGUGGGGAGCGAACAGG
RNAcentral lists this ribosomal RNA (253 nucleotides) under uncultured bacterium. RNAcentral's name for it is "partial 16S ribosomal RNA". It matches the Rfam family "Bacterial small subunit ribosomal RNA", at positions 524 to 776 of the family's 1533-position model. The record is from RNAcentral.